UAAACAAAUGGAUGCAGUAACUGAAUCCCUAGAUUCUAUGUCUACCGGUAUGGGCAUAAAUUUAAAAUCAUAAAUUAUAAUGUUAUUUACUGGAAAUUGUCAUUGUGAAAUCUGAAGUAAGUUAUCAUCAAAAUUGCAUCUUUUCAUUUGUUAUUAAAGAAUCUGUACAUUUGUAUGAGGGCAUUAGACUUGAACUAAGAUUAUUAAUUAAAUGAUUAAAUUAAUUAUUUGGGGACGAAUUGUAAAAACAAGUGCGAGUUGACUGGGGGCAAAUCAGCAGUAUGCCAUCAUUUACGCAUAUUUUUUAACACCUUCGUCUAGUUAACAUUAAACAAACAUGAAGUACAGUAAAUCUAUAACAUUUAAAUGGAAUUUAAUUUGUAACUGACUGUAUUGAUUUGAGACAAACCUACAUUUCGUCAGAAAAUAAAAACUCUCGGUAGCUUACCUCGCAGCCGCCGCCAUAUUUGUUUACCAAAAUCCCAUUAGCCAAUCAGGCCACAGAAGUCGCUGGUGGUUACCUGUCGUACUUUUUUAAAGUUCGCAGGGGACCAGUCUGUAAUAUAUUUCCCAUCUCUUUCUUGACUAGUUUAUAUUUUGAGUACAAUAUAACAUCAGUACCACUUUUUGCAAUAGAAAAUUUUGUCUAUAGAAAUAGAUAAGUGAAAAUAAAUCCUCUUUUACACAAAAUUGAUUACCAUCUAGUAACAAGUCUACAGUUUACCUGGGGUAAUGAGCUGACUGUAAAAAUCAGACAGUUAACAGGUUCAAAUAUUGUUCAUGUCUAAGUAAACUUGGCAUAUACCAAUUAUUAAAAGAGGACCAAAAUGGUCCUGGGUCCCUUACCCAGGGAAAGGGGACAAUAUAUGUCAUUUCAGGAGCCAUAAAUCUGGCGGCAAUGAUCUACUGUGACUGCUUCAAGAAGCAAACAAAGGACUUACAAGAGACAAGUUUGGUCAAAAUCAAAAUAAAUAGACGUACUAUUGCGCACACAGAAAUACUGUGUACAGACGGAAAACAGACAACAGCUAAACAACAUACAUGUACAAAAAGCUGCACAUGUUGGUGAGCUAAAACACAUCUUGCAGCUAACUCCAGCCAAAUAGUGGUUCUAAACUAUGGUAUCGGCUAUUAAUAUUUUUUAAACAAUAUCAGACAGUUUUACAUUUAUCGUGAGACCCUGGCACCGUGUUCACAAAACAUUUUCAGUCUGAGCUGAGUUUGAUAAUGAAAAUUUAUUUGUUAUUUAUAUCUAAAUGUCAUGAUUAAAACUAAAUUUUAAGUUAAUAACUAUUGUCAAGUGACUAUUCAGUAAUGACGGUCAGUCUCAGGUGGUAUUUAACCUUGAAGUUUUAGUAAAAUUGAUGUUAAAAUAUCAAACUCAAACUCAGCUGAGACCAAAACAUGUUUUGUGAACACGGGGCCAGCUGAUAGUAAGCACAAUACAUUUAAUCUUGGAAAAUAGUGAUUUUUCACACCGUAUUAAAAAAGAGCCAAAACAAAAGUACAUUGUACAUGAAAUGGUAUAAUAGCAGCAAUAAAUACACAGAAUGAUAUAAUUAUGAACAUACUAUAAUGUACAGGUCAUCUUUUUGUAAAAUCAAUGGCCCAGUAUAAUACUAUUUCAGCAUGUAUAUACAAACCAUAUUACUCAUGAAGCCUAAUUUUCUUCCUCAUUAUGAUCUACAUCACCAACAUUUUCAUUGGAUUGACCUGCAUUAUAUACAUGUACAUCACCAUAAUAUCUAUUAUCAUAUCAGCACUACUAAUAGUGUGUAAAAUGUAAAAUGCAUAUACCCAUGUACAUGUAUAAAACAUUCUAUUUGUUUAUAGUUAUUUUUGGUCCCAAACUAUUCUCUUUACCUGUAAACACAGAUUCAAGAAAAAUCUUUGUGGUAAUAAAACCAUUAAUUUUCUGAGAGAAUGUGUUACAGCAUGAAGUCUUGCUGUGGUCAGUUAAGGGCAGCAAGUAAUUUCUUUACAGUUAAUGUCAUUCACAGAAUAGUUCUCCAGUUCUCCAAUCUCGGCCUUUAAAGUUUUUUUUACAGUUUCCCUAUUUCCUCUUUAUCUCUGAAAUUACUUGAUUGAUUUGCUUUUAAUUUUAAAAGCUAUUCCCCACCACUAUCCACAUCAUUCAGCUUGAGGGCCAUAACUCUCAUGCCAGUAUUUCAUUAAUUUUCCCUCCUUUUCACUUCAAGUUAAAUUUUUUGUGCAUUUUCACUGUGGCCCAGUUAUUACUGUAUGGAUUUUAUUCAAAUUUAAAAUAGUUGCUCCACAUCAUCACCCACAUCAUACGACACAAAGUCCAUAACUCUGGCACCAAUUUUUCAUGAAUUAUGCCCCCUUUUACUUGAAAUUUAAGGUAAAUUUUGAUGCAUUUUCACUAUAUCUCAGUUGUUACUGGAUGGAUUUGAUUCAGACUUGAAGUAGUUGUUCCACAUUCAUAUGACACAAGAUGCAUAAUUCUUGCACCAAAAUUUUAUAAAUUAUGCCCACUAGAAUUAUAGUUAUUUAGUGUUUUUAUACACUUUAUCUUUAUCUCUCUUAUUACUUUUUAUUUUGGACACAAACUAAAGUUAUUGUGCAAUAUCUUUAUCCACCAUUAAAGUCAUUUAACACUCAAGUGACAGCUCCAAAUUCCUCAGAUGUGCCAAUUUUCACUUUCCAGGAUCGAAAUUGUUGGGCGUUCUGUUUCCUAUAACAGCUCUUGUUAUAGCAAUGCAAGAAAAUAUGAACAAUAUUCAAUAACGAAAGUAACAACAUACUGCAUGAGAUAUCACAUGAAGUCAUUAAUAUUUCUUCAAUCUUGAUUUUCAGCAAUAAAAUGAGCAGGUUUUAAAAGUUGGCCUUUGGCAGUCUAAACUUAAAAUGACUUGGGAACAGUCAAACUAACCAAAACAUUGCAGUAAUACAACAUGAAGGAGAAAACAGCCCAGGUUUCAUAUACUGCCUCACCUUCCGGAAAACCAGGCCAGUUGAAACCAGAGACUACCGGUACAUUUUUUGGUGAUCAUUUGACGAAGCCAGUUGUAGUGCUUUUACAGUUAGGGAGAGUGAGUUUACAUUUUGCUGGAACCUUGUUACAGGUACAUGUAUAUACUCUGGUUACAGAUUGCAGUAUCAGCCAGAAACCACAGCCAUUCUAAAUAUAGGACGAACACAAUCAGACAAGCUGGCAAGAUGAUUUUUACGUUCAGGAGUGUUGACAUUCUGCCCAAGAUUCUAGUCUGGAGAUACCAUCGGCGAUCUUAGAAUUUUUUUUAAAGAUUUAAGUUUAAAAAUGUGAUAUUGACUUUUAAAAGACUACAUUAAUAUUUUAUACUGUUUUCAGUCAAAGGUUUUAAACUUCUUUUUUGGGGGGAGGGGGGAUAACUGUACUGGAGACAAUUUUGUAUGGCAAAAUAAAACAAAGAAAAAUAUUUUUAUGUUAAAAAUACCUUUUUUAUAUAUGAAUACUUAUGAAUUGACUUUUUCAUGUCUCUAAGAUACGCAAGAUUGCAGUGAUUGCUUGUUAGCUCAUCAGAGCACGAAGUAUUCAAGGUGAGCAAUUGUGACCGGUCAUUGUCAGUUGUGUGUCGUCCGUCAACAUUUGCUUUGUUAACACUUCAGAGGCCAUAUUUGUGACCCAAUCUUUAUGAAACUUGGUCACAAUUUUUUUCUUGAUAAUUUCUAGGUCAAGUUUGAAACAGGGUCAUGAGGGGACUUAAACCAGGGCAGCAGGCAGAUCAAAGGAAAAGCUUGUGAAUAAUUUAGAAGCAGAACGUUUGUCUUGAUGAUUUCUAGGUCAAGUUUGAAUCUGGGUCAUUUGUGGUUUAAAAACUAGGUCACCCGUUCAAAUUGAAGGAAAACCUUGUGAACACUUUAGAGACCACAGUUGUAACUCAAUCUUUAUGAAGCUUGGUCAGAAUGCUUGUCUUGAUGAUUGCUAGGUCAAGUUUGAAACUGGAAUAUGUUGGAUCAAAACUAGGUCACCAGGCCAGAUCAAAGGAAAAUCUUGUGAACACUCGAGAGACUGCAAUUAAAGUUUGAAACUCAUGAGAAUUGGUCAGAAUGUAAGUCAGAAUGAGUAUUAGUCAGAAUGUAGGUCACUCAGUCAAAUCAAAGGAAAUGUUGUGCUACAGUUGUGACCAAUUCUUUAUGAAAUUCGGUAAGAAUGUUUGUCUUGAUGAUAUCUAGGUCAAGUUUGUAACUGAGUUAUGUGGGCCAUAAACUAGGUCACUAGGCCAGAUCAAAGGAAAAUCUUGAGAACUCUCUAGAGACCACAAUUUAAAUUUGAAACUCAUGAGAAAGCUUGUGAAUAUCAAUAGGCCACAGUUGUGAAUAUAACUUGUCCAAUAAACUUGGACACAAUGUUUGUCUUGAUCAUCUCUAGGUCAAGUACGAAUCUGGGUCACAUGGUUUCAAAAACUAAGUAAGGAAGAAUGGACUAUUGACUUGUUUCCCAGAUAAAUCUGCUUAUGUCUAGGUUGAGGUCAAUUGUUCAUAUUUCAAGGGUUUUAAUAAAGGAUUAUGUAGCUUAUUUUGUAGAACCUCUUUUGUUCAGUUCCCUUCCAGUCAAAUAAACACUAUUAUAAUGAUGUAUAAUAUUUUUGAUACAUUUUGUCUUUUAACUAGAAACCUUUCAAUAGCUGUAAGCAUUGUUACAUGAUUGCUGAUGUAAUGUAAGUGCCUUACUAGAUUUGACCUGUUGUUUAAUGUACAAAAAUGAUAGCUAAAUCUUAAAUAUGUUUGAAUGGUAUAGUUUGUCAUUUACUCUGUCGUUGGAAAAGUACAAUUUGUAUGCAUUGAUUGAAAUGAGAAUAGACAUGAAUGUUUAUGCAGUAAAAAAACAAGAAUGAUAACUGUAUUUAUCUCCCCUCCUACAAAAUUCUUGCAUUUCUAUUGGUCAAUAGACGUCAAGUGGAGACAGGAUAUAUUCCAUUAUCCUGCUAGUACAUUUCAGAUAUGAAUUUUUAUUAUAUACCUAUAUAAAUUGUGUAAGAAAUCGGCUUGUAUUUCAUAAUUAAAUAUGAACAGACAGACAAAAAUUCUGUAUUGUACCUUUUAAAUUCCGUAUUGUACCUUCCGUAUUGUAUGCUGCCGAACUAUUUUCAUAAAUAUGCAUGACCCGACAUAUUUCUAUAAAGAACGCACAUAAAAACUUCACUAAGUUCCAUUUAAUAUCGAUAAACAUUGAAGAUUUCGUUCAAGAACAAAACAAGAAUCAAAAUGGUAAAGGUAUAUAAUAAAAGGGUCAUUAUAACAGUAGCUAGAUCUGGGACUUUGUAUUCGGCUCUCGUGGAUUUUGCAAGGUCCCAUCACACUCGGCGCUUGCGUGCCUCGUGAGAUCCGAGCUGGCAAAAUCCACUCGAGUCAAAUACUGCAUCCCAGAUUAAUCUACUGUUAUAAUAACCCUAUUUGAUUAAAAACAAAAUGACUGCCGUAUCGCUAGCGUAAUUGAAUCAAGUCAGAUUACAAGCUAUAGAUAUCGAUUCCGAGAUAAAAAAUUUAGUCUUUUCUUGCAGUUCUCAUUUUACUUAUCUAAUUUAGGUUUGUGAAGUUAGCCGUAAGUAAAAGGAAGAACCGUAACUCUGUAAGGCACAGCCGUGAUGGAUUACCAGGUCAAAUGUUGUUAUUAUUUGCCGGCUUCGGAUUGGUUGAAGCAUUCGUAGCAUUCAAUGAGACUUCACCUGAAUGGUUAAAAAUGUGUUGCUUUGAAUCAUGAAAAUAUCCUUAAAAUAUGGAAAUGAAAUGUUUUCUGUGCAUUUUGAAGUAUUUUAUAGCUGCCUGGCUAUAUAUUUAACUGUGAAAUUAGCAAUUUAGUACUUGUUGGAAUUCGCCACUAAAUUCCAUGCACAGUUCAGGGUGGUUGUCUUUGAAUGGAAAUAGAAAAAAAUGGAUAGGGCAUGCCCAUGUGAAAAUGUUAUUUUUUGGUGUCUGGAAGUCUAUUUGACAGAGUAAAUGGCAUCUCAUGUGUCAACAAAAGUUUUGAAGGGGUCAUACAGAGUCAUUUCUUACAAUGUAAGCCUAUGGAAAAAUUAAUAGCAGUGUCUGACCACCAGGUUGAAAUCUUGUUUGAGUUAAAUCAUCAAAAAGGAAAGGAAUUAACAUAUUUGUAAGAAGCAGUUUAUUGUAGGAUCAUUUAAUCUACUUGCAAGGUAAAGGAAUUAGCAGGAAACGGGACGAAAGCCAAAGUUUUGAGACAUUUAUGACAUCGUGUAAUCUGAUUU
This is a long non-coding RNA of Mercenaria mercenaria, 6209 nucleotides long. RefSeq lists it as uncharacterized. NCBI's taxonomy places the organism in Eukaryota, Metazoa, Mollusca, Bivalvia, Venerida, Veneridae. The transcript is spliced from 4 exons. The record is from RefSeq and is a predicted model, not a curated record.